AUAAGCGCGAUGAGGAAGAUAAAGUACUCUUAAUGAUAUCUUUUCAGAGAGACUGUGGCCGGUGUGAACAGUCAGGACCAUUAGGAGGAAUUGGGACUUCUUAGCUUCGUUAAGACGUAAAUCGGCGUUAACGAUCUAAAGCAGACUUUUCUCAGGAAAAGUAAUCAGGGUGGCACCGCGGAAUCAUUCGUCCCUUCC
Molecule: non-coding RNA, 198 nt
Filed under: Halobacillus sp.
Lineage: Bacteria; Bacillati; Bacillota; Bacilli; Caryophanales; Bacillaceae
Description: T-box sequence
Rfam family: T-box leader
About the family: Uncharged tRNA acts as the effector for transcription antitermination of genes in the T-box leader family.
Source: RNAcentral